This 497-nucleotide ribosomal RNA is filed under the name uncultured bacterium. Its description in RNAcentral is "partial 16S ribosomal RNA". It matches the Rfam family "Bacterial small subunit ribosomal RNA", at positions 28 to 507 of the family's 1533-position model. The record is from RNAcentral.
GAUGAACGCUGGCGGCGUGCCUAAUACAUGCAAGUCGAGCGAACGGACGAGAAGCUUGCUUCUCUGAUGUUAGCGGCGGACGGGUGAGUCACACGUGGAUAACCUACCUAUCAGACUGGGAUAACUUCGGGAAACCGGAGCUAAUACCGGAUGAUAUUUUGAACCGCAUGGUUCAAAAGUGAAAGACGGUCUUGCUGUCACUUAUAGAUGGAUCCGCGCUGCAUUAGCUAGUUGGUAAGGUAACGGCUUACCAAGGCAACGAUGCAUAGCCGACCUGAGAGGGUGAUCGGCCACACUGGAGCUGAGACACGGUCCAGACGCCUACGGGAGGCAGCAGUAGGGAAUCUUCCGCAAUGGGCGAAAGCCUGACGGAGCAACGCCGCGUGAGUGAUGAAGGUCUUCGGAUCGUAAAACUCUGUUAUUAGGGAAGAACAUAUGUGUAAGUAACUGUGCACAGCGUGACGGUACCUAGUCAGAAAGCCACGGCUAACUACGUG